This 643-nucleotide long non-coding RNA is filed under the name Brassica napus (rape). Its description in RNAcentral is "long non-coding RNA (BNAP_LNC011350)". The record is from RNAcentral. Lineage: Eukaryota; Viridiplantae; Streptophyta; Magnoliopsida; Brassicales; Brassicaceae.
CAUUUAAUGACCUAACAUUUUAUUAUUUUUGGUACAUACAGUAGCACGUUAUUCAUACAACUUAGGGCUGUUAUUUACAAAUACAAAUAAUCAACUUACAUAAAUAUUGUUAUAACGUUUAGAAAAAAAAACAUAUUUAGGUUUUGGUAGUCCAACUAAGCACAUGUCCCAGUGGUUUAGUAGCAUCUCUUCUGAAAUAAAUCCCACCAUGUCUGGCACACCAUUCACGGUACUGACCACAUUUAUUCGACCGCGUUCCUGCUGAAAGUGCUUGGAGAAUUCACGGUACUGACCACAUUUAUUCGACCGCGUUCCUGCUGAAAAUGCUUGGAGAUUUUCGUAAUGGUUUUCUCGAGGACGAGUGUUAUUUGGAUCCUUCGGAAGCCGGUAAAAGAGAUUACAAUAAUACGUUGUUCUUUCUUUAGCCGAGACGAAGAAAAAAAUAUGAUAACGGCCAGGUUGUAUAUUUAUUUGUCCAUGAUUAAUGGAUGGGUUGUAAGAUUGACACUUGACAUGUAAAAUAUUAUCUUUACCGAGUUCGUUUUUGAAUACUAAACGACUUUCGGCGCAAGCUUCACUCGAUCCAAAACAUAUAGUAAUAACAAACAGAAACACUAUGAAAUUAUUCAUUUUUUUUUGUGAG